AACAAUUAUGUAAUAAAAAAAAGAAUUAAUUUCAUACAUAUUUCUGUUAAUAUAGUGAAUAAUAAAUAUAUCUUAACAAAGUUCAACUUUCAUAUGUUAUUUUUACAAACGUCCUAUUAUUUUCAAAUAUAUAUUCCUCCGAUUUGUUACUGUUACAAAACCGUUAGAGUACUAUUAAUAUUUUUAAUUUUGUCAUCACAAAUAUAUUUCUCCAAAAGCUAUAAUAGUAUAAUAUAAAAAAAUAAAAAUAACAAAAACUAAUCAGGAUUAAGUAUUUAAUCUAUGGUUAACUAAAUUUUUCUAACGGAUUCUAACGAUAUAGACAUAUUUAAAAAUAUCAGAACUUUUACAGAAACAAUAGAGUACGGCUGCUAUGCUAUUGAUAGCACUAAAGACUUGAUGCUAUCAAGUUUACCGUUAGAUUAACCCUUUGAUUAUUUUUACCCGCUACCCACUCAACCCUAGGGGGCCCAUAUCAUUCUAACCGCACAUUUUUUAAUUUAAAGACUAAAAAACUAAUAGCACGAAUAACUUGGUGCUAUUAAUAGUAUUACAGCCUAGUUCGAAACAAUAUAAAAAUUAAACUUUAUAGAAAUAUAUUUAUUAUUUACUAUAUUUAUAAAAAUUUGUAUGGAAUUAAUUCUAAAAAAUAAAAAUAAACCAAUGUGAUCAUAUAUAGUCCUCGUUUAAAACACU
RNAcentral lists this long non-coding RNA (696 nucleotides) under Ananas comosus (pineapple). RNAcentral describes it as "long non-coding RNA (ACOM_LNC011098)". The record is from RNAcentral. Lineage: Eukaryota; Viridiplantae; Streptophyta; Magnoliopsida; Poales; Bromeliaceae.